GAUCCUGGCUCAGGAUGAACGCUAGCUACAGGCUUAACGCAUGCAAGUCGAGGGGAAACGACAUCGAAAGCUUGCUUUUGAUGGGCGUCGACCGGCGCACGGGUGAGUAACGCGUAUCCAACCUGCCCCAUCACUUGGGGAAUAACCUUGCGAAAGUAAGACUAAUGCCCAAUGAUAUCUCUAGAAGACAUCUGAAAGAGAUUAAAGAUUCAUCGGUGAUGGAUGGGGAUGCG
Molecule: ribosomal RNA, 233 nt
Filed under: uncultured bacterium
Lineage: Bacteria
Description: partial 16S ribosomal RNA
Rfam family: Bacterial small subunit ribosomal RNA
Source: RNAcentral